This 606-nucleotide long non-coding RNA is filed under the name Bos indicus x Bos taurus (hybrid cattle). RNAcentral's name for it is "lncRNA (ENSBIXG00005024678.1)". The record is from RNAcentral. Lineage: Eukaryota; Metazoa; Chordata; Mammalia; Artiodactyla; Bovidae.
GUGUCCAAUUCUUUGCGAUUUUUUUUUUUUUUAAUUUGGUCUACAUUACAGAAAAGUUGGGUUGUGGAGAGCAAAAGAGAAAAAGAAUGCCAUGGAGGAUAACUGAAAAGAAAAGAUGGCAGUGAAGAGGAAGGAGUUAAGUGGAGCCACAGUGUCAUGUCGCAGAACCAUUGCCCUCUUUCAGAAAUAAGGAAGAGAAGACCCAGAAUGGCAGGGAAGGGGAUAACUGCCCCAGGAGAAACAGCUUGUUGGUCUCAUGAGAGGAGUUUCCCCAUUACAGACUUCAUCUCCAGAUUAAAUAAGGAUGAAGCAGGUUAUGGUCCCAUCAGAAUUGGGAGGUAUCAUACAGAAGAUUUGGGAUUCCCUGGUAAAGCGUCUGCCUGGAAAUCAGGAGACCCUGGUUUGAUCCCCGGGUCGGGAAGAUUCCCUGGAGAAGGAAAUGGCAACCCACUCCAGUACUCUUGCCUAGAAAAUUCCAUGGAUGGAGGAGCCUGGUGGGCUACAGUCCAUGGGGUCACAAAGAGUCAGACACGACUGAGUGACUUCGUUUUCGCUUUCGCUUUAUAUAGAAGAUAUGAAAGAGGCAUAUGCUCACCUGGCUGUUGA